AGCAUUAUCCGUGAAACUGCGAAUGGCUCAUUAAAUCAGUUAUCGUUUAUUUGAUAGUACCUUACUACUUGGAUAACCGUGGUAAUUCUAGAGCUAAUACAUGCUGAAAACCUCAACUUCGGAAGGGGUGUAUUUAUUAGAUAAAAAACCAAUGCCCCUUGGGGCUUCUUGGUGAUUCAUGAUAACUUCUCAGAUCGCAUGGCCUUGCGCCGGCGACGGUUCAUUCAAAUUUCUGCCCUAUCAACUUUCGAUGGUAAGGUAUUGGCUUACCAUGGUUUCAACGGGUAACGGGGAAUUAGGGUUCGAUUCCGGAGAGGGAGCCUGAGAAACGGCUACCACAUCCAAGGAAGGCAGCAGGCGCGCAAAUUACCCAAUCCCGACACGGGGAGGUAGUGACAAUAAAUACUGAUACAGGGCUCUUUUGGGUCUUGUAAUUGGAAUGAGUACAAUUUAAACCUCUUAACGAGGAACAAUUGGAGGGCAAGUCUGGUGCCAGCAGCCGCGGUAAUUCCAGCUCCAAUAGCGUAUAUUAAAGUUGUUGCAGUUAAAAAGCUCGUAGUUGAACCUUGGGCCUGGCUGGCAGGUCCGCCUCACCGCGUGUACUUGACCGGCCGGGCCUUCUCUUCUGGAGAACCUCAUGCCCUUUACUGGGCGUGUUGGGGACCAGGACUUUUACUUUGAAAAAAUUAGAGUGUUCAAAGCAGGCCUUUGCUCGAAUAUGUUAGCAUGGAAUAAUAGAAUAGGACGUGCGAUCCUAUUUUGUUGGUUUCUAGGAUCGCCGUAAUGAUUAAUAGGGACAGUCGGGGGCAUCAGUAUUCAAUUGUCAGAGGUGAAAUUCUUGGAUUUAUUGAAGACUAACUACUGCGAAAGCAUUUGCCAAGGAUGUUUUCAUUAAUCAGUGAACGAAAGUUAGGGGAUCGAAGACGAUCAGAUACCGUCGUAGUCUUAACCAUAAACUAUGCCGACUAGGGAUCGGGCGGUGUUUCAAUAUUGACUCGCUCGGCACCUUACGAGAAAUCAAAGUGUUGGU
RNAcentral lists this ribosomal RNA (1030 nucleotides) under Morosphaeria ramunculicola. RNAcentral describes it as "SSU rRNA". It matches the Rfam family "Eukaryotic small subunit ribosomal RNA", at positions 71 to 1112 of the family's 1831-position model. The record is from RNAcentral. Lineage: Eukaryota; Fungi; Ascomycota; Dothideomycetes; Pleosporales; Morosphaeriaceae.